This is a non-coding RNA of Gossypium raimondii (Peruvian cotton), 107 nucleotides long. Lineage: Eukaryota; Viridiplantae; Streptophyta; Magnoliopsida; Malvales; Malvaceae. The record is from Rfam.
AGCCCAUGAUAAGUGCACAUUCUCAAAAGAUCCUUAAAUCUCUCUCAUGCAUCAUACUAUUUCUCAAGCACAAAUUGAGCAAAAAAAAAGAUGUCAUUCCUCAACUU